UACGUAAGUGGCGAGCGUUAUCCGGAUUCAUUGGGCGUAAAGAGCACGCAGGCGGUUUGGCAAGUCGGAUGUGAAAACCCGAAGCUCAACUUCGGGCCUGCAUCCGAAACUGCCCGACUAGAGGUAGGUAGGGGAGAUCGGAAUUCCUGGUGUAGCGGUGAAAUGCGCAGAUAUCAGGAGGAACACCGGUGGCGAAGGCGGAUCUCUGGGCCUUACCUGACGCUCAGGUGCGAAAGCUAGGGGAGCGAACAGG
Molecule: ribosomal RNA, 253 nt
Filed under: uncultured bacterium
Lineage: Bacteria
Description: partial 16S ribosomal RNA
Rfam family: Bacterial small subunit ribosomal RNA
Source: RNAcentral